ACGAGAUUUGUGCACAACAUAGAAAUUUCUGUAAAUUUUCUUCUGCAAAUUGUUUUGAAUGAAUUGUGAUAUUGAAUUGUGACUUAUUGGUAUUGAAAUUAUUAUUGAAAGGAACAAUAUGCUUUUGAUCUAAACUGUUAGAAAAAUAAAUUGUGUGUGUUUGAAUUACAAAGUAAUGUUUAGAAAAUUGCUAAGAUAGUUUUGAAACCACAGUAUUAUGACCACAUAUCUGAAUGCCUCACUAGCUUGACUAGUGGGACGAACUAGUUUUGUAUUCCCUCUCUGGCUAAUGUGUUGAGGUGUGUGCUAGUAGAGGAAGAAAUUUGAAUGGG
RNAcentral lists this unclassified non-coding RNA (332 nucleotides) under Hevea brasiliensis (rubber tree). Lineage: Eukaryota; Viridiplantae; Streptophyta; Magnoliopsida; Malpighiales; Euphorbiaceae. The record is from RNAcentral.